GAACGCACCUUGCGCCCUUUGGCUAUUCCGAAGGGCAUGCCUGUUUGAGUAUCAUGAACACCUCAACUCUCAUGGCUUUGCCGUGAUGAGCUUGGACUUUGGGGGUCUUGCUGGCCUGUUGUCGGCUCCUCUCAAAUGAAUCAGCUUGCCAGUGUUUGGGGGCACCACAGGUGUGAUAAACAUCUACGCCUGCGGUUAUCCACCAUGUAACCUUCAGUGAUGGAGGUUCGCUGGAGCUCAUAAACGUCUUUCCUCAGCGAGGACAGCUCUUCGACUGUUUGAUCUCAAAUCAGGUAGGACUACCCGCUGAACUUAAG
This 317-nucleotide unclassified non-coding RNA is filed under the name uncultured Thelephoraceae. RNAcentral describes it as "sequence contains 5.8S rRNA gene". The record is from RNAcentral. Lineage: Eukaryota; Fungi; Basidiomycota; Agaricomycetes; Thelephorales; Thelephoraceae.